RNAcentral lists this transfer RNA (72 nucleotides) under Sceloporus virgatus. RNAcentral's name for it is "tRNA-Asn". The record is from RNAcentral. Lineage: Eukaryota; Metazoa; Chordata; Lepidosauria; Squamata; Phrynosomatidae.
CGGGAGAAGCGGACAGAAGCCCGCUGGAUUGGGUAUUUAACUGUUAAUUAAUUUUUGUGGGAUCAAGGCCCG